This 253-nucleotide ribosomal RNA is filed under the name uncultured bacterium. RNAcentral's name for it is "partial 16S ribosomal RNA". It matches the Rfam family "Bacterial small subunit ribosomal RNA", at positions 524 to 776 of the family's 1533-position model. The record is from RNAcentral.
UACGUAGGGGGCUAGCGUUGUCCGGAAUCAUUGGGCGUAAAGAGCGUGUAGGCGGUCCGGUAAGUCACCUGUGAAAUCUCCUGGCUCAACUGGGAGCUUGCAGGCGAAACUGCCGUGCUGGAGUGUGGGAGAGGUGCGUGGAAUUCCUGGUGUAGCGGUGAAAUGCGUAGAUAUCAGGAGGAACACCUGUGGCGAAAGCGGCGCACUGGACCACAACUGACGCUGAGGCGCGAAAGCUAGGGGAGCAAACAGG